Molecule: non-coding RNA, 1522 nt
Organism: Equus caballus (horse)
Lineage: Eukaryota; Metazoa; Chordata; Mammalia; Perissodactyla; Equidae
Source: RefSeq, a predicted model, not a curated record
GGGGCGGAACUGCGUCUCCGGCGUCGUUUCCGGGCGAGUGAAAGCCGUGGGUCUGUAGGUGCCGGCUCUGCGACUGGCCUGGGGAGUGCGCGGCUGGCGUCUGCGGGGGCGAGCAGUGCUCCAGGCACGGUUGGGUCUGUCGGGCUAGCGCCUUCCGGUGCCAUGUGGCCCUGGGCUCCGCGGGAACGCAAGGUGCUCCCAGUCCUGUAAAGGGAUAUGGCCUCGCCCUUCUGCAGAGGAUUAAGGUCACCCAGAGCGGCAUUCAUAGCCGGGUCCAAUCAAUCAUACCAGCCGAGGACGGUUGUUGGGCAUUGGCCAAAGGCGUGGGGAUCUUCUAUGGACACAGAAAAACAUUGACCUGGAGAGAUUAUAGCAUCACUGGUGUCACAAGUCAAAAAAAAUUAUCCUGUGCAUGUUCUCAGCCCCCCUCCUGUCCCUUCUUUUCCCUUCCCCUCAAGAGAAGCUUCUGUGAUGUGUUCCAUUUCCCUCCUCCUGCCUGCUCUCACGGAGGAAGAACCGGUGUUUGGCUGGUGAGAGGGUAAGCUCCCCUCCGUUAUAAAGGGAUGGAGUGAGAGGGAGAUUUUUAAAACUACUCAAGCAGCAUCUUGAAAAAGAUUUAAGGGUUUUGAAGAGAAGUUUCUGAAACAGCCACAGGCAGAGUGUGAGGACAAUCUAGAGCAGAGAAAUGAAUCUUGGAGGGGGUGGUGAAUGGGCCUCCUUUAAUGUUCUUAGAGAACUCCAAGAACCUACGCUGCUAUUUGAUAACUACUGGCCUUUGCCUUUGAAUUGAUGCUCAGAGACCAUGUGGGCUCCCGGUUUAUGAGGUUGAUGGUGUGGCAUAGGGGUUAAAUGUCAAGAUCGGGUGUCAGACUCUCUGGAUUCAUUUCUGACCUUGGAUAAAUUACUUCACAUCUCUGGACUUUAGCUUCCUACUCUGUGAAGUGGAGCCAAUAGGACCUUUCCCUUGGAGUUGUUAAAGGAGAAAAUCCACAUAAGAUUCUUAGCACAAUGCCUGCCUUGUAGUAAGCACUCAAAGUAUCAUCCUUACUUUAAAGUAGUUGUUGGAACAGGGGAUGGGGGGCUAAGAUGCUCCUUUUAGGUAUCUGGUUUCCAUUUUUGGUGAGAGGAGUGGGUGGGGCAUAUAACAAGCUUUGGAUGCCUGCCCAGCAUCCUCAAGCCAUCAUCAUUAUCGACAUCGGCACCUUCGUUGUAUAACAUGGUGGUAAAGGUGGCAGAGGGGAUCCUUCCUCAAUCCUGGGGACCACAGGUGAGAACAAAAGUGCUAAGAACCCCCGCAAUCUAAGUUCAGAGAACCCCCCAGCUGUGGGGAUGGCCACGUCUCCUCUCCCCGACCUCCGGCAUUUUUGGAAGGUCUCAGUUCAGCCGAAACAGGAGCCCUGCUCCUCUCCCUUUCCCACCCAGGAAGGACCACUCUCCAAGUUCUUAGAUCCUGAGAUGUGCUGAAGCUGAGUCCCAAGCCAGGUCAGCCCUCAGGACCAGCAGAAGGCCCCCCAAAGUUGUC